UUGAUAAACGGCAAACCUGUCGUGAGGCAGGGACGCAAAGCUGCGGGUCUUUUUGUUUUAUGAUAGGAAGAUAGCCGGGUUGCAGAUU
Molecule: non-coding RNA, 88 nt
Filed under: Methylococcaceae bacterium
Lineage: Bacteria; Pseudomonadati; Pseudomonadota; Gammaproteobacteria; Methylococcales; Methylococcaceae
Description: c-di-GMP sequence
Rfam family: c-di-GMP-I-GGC riboswitch aptamer
Source: RNAcentral